AUUUUUUCUUUGCUCCUUUUCGAGAUCAACAGUAAAAGGAAAGGGGAGUCAUUCCCUUAUCUGAAAACUUCGCAAAAGGGGGAGAAAAGGGGACGGGACGCGGUUAUUGCAGGCGUACUGUUGGCGCCGUUUGGAGCUGGAGCCGGCCGAAUUUGAGAAAAAUGAAAGAGAGGGCGUACUGUUGGACGCGACUUUUGCUGGAUUUCAGUUUUCUCUUAGGACAGCUGGUUCACCGAGAUUUCUGGGUUAGCUGGUGUGA
This 259-nucleotide unclassified non-coding RNA is filed under the name Hevea brasiliensis (rubber tree). The record is from RNAcentral. Lineage: Eukaryota; Viridiplantae; Streptophyta; Magnoliopsida; Malpighiales; Euphorbiaceae.